Molecule: long non-coding RNA, 1138 nt
Filed under: Rosa chinensis
Lineage: Eukaryota; Viridiplantae; Streptophyta; Magnoliopsida; Rosales; Rosaceae
Description: sRNA RchiOBHm_Chr7g0214341
Source: RNAcentral
UUAUAGUAGUAGAGAUUAGUCCCCUAUCUUCUCGCUCCCUCAAGCAUAACCGGGGUUUGGUUCGCCUUGAGUAGUAGAGCUUCCUCCGUUGUCUUCCGCAAACUCGACACCGAUGAUUUCCGCUACCCUCUCGUUAAGCAGAACACAUUGAUUUUGAGAGGGAUUCCAGGAUUGAUUGAAGUUGGAAAGAUUCUACUAGUUGGAUAACUUGAUAGGUGAAAAAUCUGUAUAGGUGGAUUAGAGGCGCUCGUUUCGCUUGAAUUUGAUUGCUCACACUACGUUUACUGUAACAGUGGCUAUUUGCAGUGAUUGUCAUUUGUCUGGAUUAACUUUUCAUGACUCCAGUUUGGCUAUCCUAAAAUCUUAGAACAAGGAGUAAGUGACUUUAAUAGGCAUAUUUGUAGAAAUUCUAGUAGAAUAUUCAUAUAUCAUUUGUUUUUCACCAUAGCUAAGCAACGGUAUAAGUUAAAAUAAGUGUUGGUUUUUAGUCAUCAGGACCUUCGGAAUCAUCAAGCUGAUCAAGAUAAACCAUUACCUCCAAUAUACAAGGUAGUAAAGACUGUUUAUGCUUCUCCCAGCCAUGUCAACUUUCAUUUGGACUCGCAAAAGCUGUGUGGCUGACAUGGAGGGCAGCUGAGGCAGAAAGACGAUCUACCCAACUUGUAGAGGAGUUAGAGGCAAUGAAGGCUAGUGCAGCUCAACAAAAUGAAGAAUUAGAGGCAGUGAAGGCUAGUGCAGCUCAACAAAGUGAAGAGUUAGAGGCAGUUAAAGCAAACCAAAACGAGACAGAUGCACUUUAAAAAAAAUUGCUGGAACAAUUUUCCUCUAGGAAAUAAAGAUUUGUGAAGAGUGGUCCAAGGUUUGAGUUUUAAGCAAUAUACCUUUCGACUUGGUAUUAGCUUUUGGAAAGACUUAAGAAGUACAUACAUCUCUUGACUUAGUUAGCUUUUGGAAAUACAUCAUUAUCCAAGUUUCUUUGGGUAGUUCUUCUGAUGUUGAUACUUAUAUAUAUAACUGACUUUGGAUUUAAAGUUCAAUAGUUUAUGAGGGGGAUGAGAUACAUAUUUUAUUGGAGAUUAUUGCUAAUGUUAUUUAGUAUUAUUAUAUAAAUUUUAAUAUGUUAUGUUGAUCACCAUUG